RNAcentral lists this ribosomal RNA (820 nucleotides) under uncultured eukaryote. RNAcentral's name for it is "SSU rRNA". It matches the Rfam family "Eukaryotic small subunit ribosomal RNA", at positions 629 to 1426 of the family's 1831-position model. The record is from RNAcentral.
CGGUGUUUAACUGGCGUGAUGUGGGACGUCCUACCGGUGGGCUUAGCCUCGCGAGGGGCGGCCCAACUAAUAUCCCGUCGCGGUGCUCUUUACUGAGUGUCGAGUCGGGCCGGUACGUUUACUUUGAACAAAUUAGAGUGCUUAAAGCAGGCUAUCCUCGCCUGAAUACUGCGUGCAUGGAAUAAUGGAAUAGGACCUCGGUUCUAUUUUGUUGGUUUUCGGAACCCCGAGGUAAUGAUUAAUAGGGACAGAUGGGGGCAUUCGUAUUGCGACGUUAGAGGUGAAAUUCUUGGAUCGUCGCAAGACGGACAGAAGCGAAAGCAUUUGCCAAAAAUGUUUUCAUUAAUCAAGAACGAAAGUUAGAGGUUCGAAGGCGAUCAGAUACCGCCCUAGUUCUAACCAUAAACGAUGCCAGCUAGCGAUCCGCCGAAGUUCCUCCGAUGACUCGGCGGGCAGCUUCCGGGAAACCAAAGCUUUUGGGUUCCGGGGGAAGUAUGGUUGCAAAGCUGAAACUUAAAGGAAUUGACGGAAGGGCACCACCAGGAGUGGAGCCUGCGGCUUAAUUUGACUCAACACGGGAAACCUCACCAGGCCCAGACACCGGAAGGAUUGACAGAUUGAUAGCUCUUUCUUGAUUCGGUGGGGUGGGUGGUGCAUGGCCGUUUUUAGUUGGUGGAGCGAUUUGUCUGGUUAAUUCCGAUAACGAACGAGACUCUAGCCUGCUAAAUAGGCGUACCUUAUGGUAUCGCGAAGGCCCCCGGCUUCGGCCGGUGGGUUUUUACUACCAACGUACAAACAAAUCUUCUGGAGGGACAGGCGG